RNAcentral lists this ribosomal RNA (484 nucleotides) under uncultured bacterium. RNAcentral's name for it is "partial 16S ribosomal RNA". It matches the Rfam family "Bacterial small subunit ribosomal RNA", at positions 30 to 507 of the family's 1533-position model. The record is from RNAcentral.
AUUGAACGCUGGCGGCAGGCCUAACACAUGCAAGUCGAGCGGAUGAAGGGAGCUUGCUCCUGGAUUCAGCGGCGGACGGGUGAGUAAUGCCUAGGAAUCUGCCUGGUAGUGGGGGAUAACGUCCGGAAACGGGCGCUAAUACCGCAUACGUCCUGAGGGUGAAAGUGGGGGAUCUUCGGACCUCACGCUAUCAGAUGAGCCUAGGUCGGAUUAGCUAGUUGGUGGGGUAAAGGCCUACCAAGGCGACGAUCCGUAACUGGUCUGAGAGGAUGAUCAGUCACACUGGAACUGAGACACGGUCCAGAGUCCUACGGGAGGCAGCAGUGGGGAAUAUUGGACAGUGGGCGAAAGCCUGAUCCAGCCAUGCCGCGUGUGUGAAGAAGGUCUUCGGAUUGUAAAGCACUUUAAGUGGGGAGGAAGGGCAGUAAGUUAAUACCUUGCUGUUUUGACGUUACCAACAGAAUAAGCACCGGCUAACUUCGUG